CCUCGUGAUCCGCCCGUCUCGGCCUCCCAAAGUGCUGGGAUUACGGGCUUGAGCCACCGCGCCCGGCCAAAGAAGUAUUUCUUAAAGAAGCAAAUGCUCGAUCUCCAAGUAAAUUUUAUUCUCUGCUCUUCCAGUAUAAGAAUACGCUAAUAUCUUGAAAAAUAUAUUAUUUUGUGAACUCAUGAAGCUAUUUGAGUUUUUGUAAAAUGAAAACCUUAUGAAAAUGUAUUUUAUUAUUGGAAAGCUUGACCAUUACUGUGAUUUAAUUUUUUAAGCUUGUAAACUUUAUUUGUGCAUAUUUUCAGCAAAGAAGGAUUUUAUUGUUAUUACAUAAAAUAGGCGAUUUCUACAUUUUAAAAUCACAAAUUGAAAGUAAGGCACAAUAAAGUAUAUUUCAAGAUAUAGGUACUCAGGAGUCAUCCUUUUAGUCAUCUGUUCAAUGUAGCCAUCUAUUUUAUACCUACUGUCUACUAUUGUUUGAGGUCCUUGCCAAAGUAUUACAGGCUAGUUAGGAAACAUAAAACAAUUAUAAAGUAAUAUUUGACGAGUAAACUAUCUAUAAAUGGCAAUGAAGGGUAGAAUAAAUUCAAUGAAAAUAUUUAUUUAAUCCUAGUGUUUAUAGGUCUAGAAGAAUAGGCUGAGUAAAUUAGUGUUUCUCUGGCUGUUGUGGUAACACAUUGCAUGCUGUAACAGUUUUAAGUAAUUACAGUUGCAUUAAAAUUUAUCUAUGGCUUUGUCAUUAUAUUCUAAAAUGUCAUGAGUACUUUUUUCUGACCUCAAUUACUAUGAAAUUGGUUUCCCAUAUUUAAUUAACCAAGAAUAUCAAGAUGAUAGGGUGUUACUAAGGUGAGACAUCUGUAGCCUUUUCAAUAAAGACCAGAAUUUUGGAGUGCCUUGAACCCUAAUCAUUGAUCCUUAAUUCUUAUUAAGUCCACUGCCCACCUUUUAAAGACUGAGGCCCAGGAAGAGUAAGUUUCUCUGAGACAAUGUGUACAGUACAGUGGUUCUUGGGUAUUGGCUCUAAGACAAGAUACAAAGAAAGGCUAAAGUUCCAUUUCAUGACUCAUGAGGUGAGGGCCCUUUGUUAAGCUGUAUAACCUCUGUGCAUAGUUUCCUCAUCAGCAAAGUCAGAAAAAGUAUGUACCUAAAGGACUGAUUGUAAGGCUGGGAUGAGAGAAUCCAUGUGAUCAGCCCUCACCAACAGGUGCUGCCCAGUUCAUGAGUGCUGCUGCUGUCCUGCCCAAGUACCCAGCUUGCAGGAGUGCCGGAAUUAGAGUCCCAGGGGUGUUCUCCACGGCCACAUGCUUGAUCCAGGUCUAUCAGAACCAGGCAUCAUCAGCAAACAAAACUGACAAAUCUUCCUGCCCUCUGUGGAAGGCAUCUGAGGAAGAGACUGGAUUUUGUAGCAACAUGUUAUUCUCAUUAUAAACUUUAUUGUUGGAAUACUAAAGCCAAAUCAUCCCCCAUCUCCUUGAUCAGGGUACCCACCUAAUCCAGGCAGCUACACAAUUGUGAGAGUCCUUGUUUUUUUCUGCUGAAACAUCCUUAAAAGGAUACCUCACAAUCCAAGAUUUGGCUUUUCUUAAAUAUGAUUUUUAAUUUUUUUCAUUUCUAUCUAGAGAUUUAAUUGGAAAUGGAAAAUCAUCAAUUUUCCAAUUAAAUAUCUGCUCCAAUCAACAUUAUACCUUUUAGGUUGUCAUUGUCAUGUUUAAGUUUAAGCAACUUUAAGGAUUUUGAAUCUGGCUGCCUGUAAAUUAAAGGUGAAAGUAAUUGUGUUGCAUUGGUACAUUUUGUCAAUUGAGACUGGUUUGCUUGUUCUUAGUGUAUGAAAAGUUUAUUUUUCUAAUGUAGAUUAAUAAAGGAGAUAAAGAAAAGCAAAAUUAAUGAUUUAUGUGGAUGAGAAAAUAAUCAUUUCCUUAAGGAUUAAAUAAAAUUCAUACCUUUUGUUUCUUUUGAAAAGUUUUUAAAAUAAAUUUUAAUGUGUCCUUUAAAUAUUCCUUUAAAAAUAUAUCCUAUUUUAAAAUAUACUCUCUCAGAGAAGGAAUUGAUAUUGAUACCUGUGUUUGAAAUAAAAAAUAACAUGCAUAAGGACUGUUUUUCUAGUUGGUUGAAGCUUUUUCCCUCUCUUCUUUACAUCAGUGAACCAGCAUCUUGCCCUUCAGACCCUACAGCACACUCUUGGGCUCAUGAAGUGUAUGACACAUUCUCCUUGGAGGAUCGGCCGUGUCCUCACUGUCAUGACCACAUGAAUUCUUCUGUAUGUCUUUUCUCACAGCUGAGUACUCCUUUCCUGACCCCCUUGUGGAGUGGAGAAAGGAGGCUCUGACAUUAUGCUUGUGCAAACAUAAUCUAGAGUUUUCUGAGUCUCCUGCAUCUUCAUAAAUGAUUUUUUGUUUUAUGCUGGGACAGUAGUUCUUUAAAUAGAAUAUUCUCCCAUGGAAAUCGCCCACAAUGCUGAGAGUACACCUUGCAAAAGGUAAGUCUAGAAUAUAGGGUGCCUCCUCAGCAUUGCCCAGAAGCUGAAGUUAGGACUCUCUGGAAUACCAAAAACAAAUUUAUAGCAGUUCAUGAGUGUAAGGAAUUAUGAACACCAUGUGCACCAUUAUCCAUAGAUGAAACAAAGAGCCACCACGCAAGUACAGACACAAAGCCCUGAAGAGGAAGCCAUUGACGGGGCUCUCAUUUAUUCUGUAGAAACCCACUUGCCUGUUUUUGAACCAGUUUUCUUUGGAGCAUAUGUCUCACUGUGCAACCAAAGUGGUGUUUAUAUCCUAGUCACUUGGGAAAAAUUCUGUCAUUGCUUCAGGGAGAUCCAUUUUAGGCCUGAAGCGUGGAGCUGGUAAUAGAUGGGAUUUGGUACUUCCGAAGAAAAGACCCUACUGUAAAUUUAGAGAGUUAAUUUUUUCUUUUGUUCACCAUAAUAUUGUUGUUAGAUGGAACUACCUUUUUUGACUAGAAGUUAAAUAUAGAGGCCUAAAUCAGUUUGGUAACUCCCACUCAUUCUAAAUGAGAACAUGUUUGUUUCUCUCCAAUGAGAUGGGAAAUAUUUGAGGCUCUUCAUGGUAUCUCUAUCACCCACUGCAUUUUUUCAUUUGAUGUGUAUUUCCCCAUGUAUUUGAGAUAAUUUUCAAAUAAUUGCCCUAUAGAAAUCUACUUGAUAUUUAAUGUAAAAAAAAGCAAGAUGCAAAAUUAUUAUAGGAUGCAUUUACAGAAAUUACAAAAUUUCUGUAAACUAUUUAUGGAGGAAAACUUGCAGAGUAUAUGUCAACACAUUGCUUUAUUAUUGUCCUUGGUUAUGAAUUUGGUUUUCUGAAACCUGCUUUGUAGUUUUGGUGUUUUCUCAUCAUUGGUACAAUCGAGGCAUUUUUCCCUCGUCUUCAAUCUUGCAAAUCACACGUGAGGAUGCUCAUAGAAGUGCCUCUCAGAUAGGCUGUCGUUUUGCUUACACCAAUAAAUCAUUUAUAAUUAGAAGUAGAAAACUUUUCUUCCCUGUGCAAAUACAUCCCUUUCAAAAGCAGUUCUCUUUUUUGUGAAUGAUGUCUGGGGUCUAAGAAACUAGGGUAACCUUUAUUAUAUGCAUUGCUCUAAUCAAAGCAUUGUUUUGUAUAGUGAACUCAAGGUUACAUGUUUAAGAAAAGCAUCGGGUUAAUUCCAUCAGGAAAAUUGUCUUAUUCAUAAACCUUUAGCCGUUGGAAAAAUACCAUUAGGAGGCCACGCAGAUGUGUAUAACUGUAUAGAAUUUGACAACCAGCAAAACACAACAAUAGCCUACGUUUGCAGAGUGCUGUCUGUUUAAAAACCAACAUAUCUUUCACCAACAAAUACAUAUUCACCUCAACACGAGACUUUCAUGUGGUUAUUAAUAUCAAAUUUUUGAAUGUCUAAAUUUUGGAGUGUAGUCUAGCAGAGGUAAACUGAUUUGCCUAAGGUCCUUCAAUUGACAGAGGUAGAAUUAUUUUCUGUCUCCUGGCUCUGAAAACCUGUCAAGAUCCUCUUGCAACACUGUCCUUCAAAAACACACUUCUGCUGACUCCAAUGCUGGUGGUGUCAUGCUUUAGCUAGUAGUUAUCUGUGACUUAACUAAAUAUGGAAUCCUUUUUUCCUAUUAACCAAUGAGGUUUAGUUUGAAAAUUCUUAGAGAUGAUAAACCCCUCUCCUUUUUUCCUUCCUUCUCCUCUUUUGUCCUGAACAAUGUUCCAUAUAUGUUACUGCCAGAAACAGAUUCUUGACAUUCCUGUUAUGCUUUUCCUACCUUGUAAUCAUUUCUACAGCUGUUAGCAUUGCCAACAAUUAUAUUUCCACUUUUAAAAAAUUGUUACAAAGAUGCAGAGAGAAAAGAGGACAGCCAAGGAAUAAACUACAAGCAAUUACAGGAUAUUUUUGUGAUGUGACAUUUUGGGAACUCAGGGGUAAUGCAUCACUGAUACUGCACUGCUUUUUAAUAUCUAGAUUUUAAUAUUUUGUAUGAAGAUAAAAAUUCACAUGCCUUAAACCUGACCACAGCAUAAUAGGGCAUUUAUUUUUCUAAUUUUCAUACCAUCCACAUUCCUUAACUAUAAGAAGAAUGCUUAUGUUGUACCAGGUUAUAUGAUGGUGCCAAGAAGUAGAUGUGUACAAUUUACUAAUACAUCCUUUUGGAAAAUGCAUAUUAAUAACAUAUUAAGGAGUAAAUUGACAUUGUGCAAAGUGAGCCCGUGAGUUUAAAUGUAUGGAUUGUACACCUUGCUCUUCCCAAUUGCAGAUUUAACAGGAUUUGAUGACCUAAUGAGUUUAUUUCUGAAUGAUUUAUAUUUCUUUGUCAGUUUAAUGAUUUAGUAUUUUAAAUAUUCCUAAAUCACAUUUUAUUGAGAUAUGCUAUUACUGUUUCUUUCCCAUCACUUAACAAAGUUAAGUCACUCCUCUCGCACCCCACUUUUGUACCUACCAAUGUUUUUUGACAGUUACAGGCUGAUUGGCUUGACAUGUCUUAGGAUACCCACCCAAAGAGAGCUUCACUUUAUAAAUACCAAGCUCAUUUUCCUAAAUAUUUUCAAAAAGAUGGAAUUUAUCCUCAUAUGGUGUAUUCAGAUUAAUAAUUUCAGAAAGGGUCAUGUGACCAUGGUAUUACAUAGCUGUGGAAGUCCCUCCAAGAUCUUGUUUUGGGAUAGAAGGACUCAGACAUCCCAACUUUUAAAUUAAUGAACUUACUAAAUUCUAAAACUUUGUAACAGUGUUAAUUUGAGAUGUGUGUUUUGCCUAAGGUGUGUUUUGCUUUGCAAAAUGCAUCUCCUUCAUUUUCAUAUUAUGUUGGAAGCUUAGCGUGAAAGAACGUGCCUCAGAGGGAAACCAUAGGUAAGCAUACUUUAACAAAAGUUAGUGUCAUCAUGAUUUUGUCUUUGCCUGUGGUUUUUUAAGUGUAUAAUGUUUAAUGUUGAUUUGGCUAUCAAAUUACAUUUUCUUUUGUUAAAAAAUUCUGUAAAUUAGAAAUGUACUGAAUCAUUUAUUUAGCAGACCGAAGGUGGGUAACGAUGGCUAAAAGGUUUAAGCUACAGUAAUUUGAAAACGAAAAUACAUAAAAUAAUGUCCUUUCUCUUCUACUCAAUGUUUCUUCACCAAAUAAAGUCCAGCCUGCUCUGAAUUUGUUGCCAGUAGGACCAAUGUUCCAGUGAAUCAUGGUUUAAUAUACCUUGAAAAUGGCACAUCUGUUCUGCGAUAGCAUACCAAUUUUAGCCUCUUUAUAAAAUACGAAGAGUUUGUCAACCAGAAUAAUCUAGAACCUGGCAAUUCAAAUACCAUUCAAAGCAAAUGUUUUAUCUAAUAACUAGAACUAAAUGUUAGGCCUCAUGACAGUUCAACAUUUACUAAACAAGUUUAAUAACAGGGUAAGCCCUCAGUAUCCAGAGCAGAGAUAAGCACACCAUAUUUAUAUAUACAAAUUCUGCCUUUAGCCAUCUGAAGGGGCCCCGAACUAUUGCAGCCAGCAGAGAGUCUUUGCAUGGUCCUAAAAUCCAUACUAUACUUUAUGUUUUACACAUUUUAAUAGCUAGUUUAAUAAAAAGUACCAUGCUUAAUUCUCUGCAUGCAUUAUUUCAACUAAUUAUUGAAAUAAUCUUAUAAAGUGAGUACUUUUGUCUCAGCUUACAGGUGAGAAAAGUUAAAUAGAUCACCCAGGGCUCUGCUAGAACGUAUUGAGCAUGGAUUUCAGCCUGUUCAGUCAGACCCCAGAAGUUGUGUUCUUAACCAUUAGUAACACAUCAUCCCAGGCAGGCCCUACAUGAGCCUCAUAACCAGUUUUAUGCUGGAUAAUAUUAUCCCUAUUUCACAGAUGGCAAAACUGAGGUCCAGAGACUUUAAGGGACCUACUCAAGAUUACAGUCAUGAGCAGCGGCACUGGGAUGUAGGGUCCUGGCACUCUACCUCACGUGGUCCUCUUUCCUGUUUUGGGUAGGUCUCUACUACCACUACUCAUUUCUGAUGCUGGAAAGGCUGUGUUUUAUACAUUUCUGUUUCUGGCUUGGAACAAAACACUCUCUGGGUCUCUGCUUGAUCAGUGACCCCUCUAAACUGCACCCCACUACAGCAGGGAUGGCAUAAACUUCUUUACACAGCAUCUUUUUGUUCCCACCUCACCCCCAGAGCUGUAAUAAGUAGAGCCUGCCAAAUGUCAAAGAGAUGAUUUGUCUUGUCACCACUAGUUUCCCUUUUCUCUGCCUUGUAUGUAACAGGAAUAUUCUUUAGUUCCCCCUUAUGUUCUAAAGCAACUUCCCAACCUAAAAAUAGAAAAGGAGCUGUGAGUCAUUUACACCUUAGUGUGAAUGUGCUCUUGUGACUGUGCCAAGGCUGUUGUGCCUAACUCUUUUAAUGUAACAGCAGAAUGAGAGUCUCUGGAUUCUCCUUGCUCCUUCCCUGAGAAGAAUGAAGUGGGAAUUGUUGGUCUAGACAUCAAGACUACCAGAGACCUAUUGCGCAGAGAUGUUUGGGCUGUACAAUUGCUGUAGAUAUGCAUCUGGAGCAGCCUUUUCUGAGCAAUGGCAUUAUCAGUCCAGGUUCUCUCACUCUUUCCAUCUCUCCACUUGACCCAGGUGGACUCUUGCCCUCCACCCCUUCCAACUUGUCAGUGAUUCAGAGAACAUUCUCCAUCCUUCGAAUAAUUACAUUCCUUCAUCUUGCGGGGGACCCAAUUCAGUGAUGGAGCGGCUCUUGGGAGCAGCCUUGGCUUAUAGUGCAGCUCUCUGCUAUCUUCAACAGGCUGGUAUUCGGGGAGCUUGGAUGUAACUGGUUGCACACUCGUGUGUGUAUGUGCAUGUGUGUAGAGCAGUAAGAGCCUUCAAGGUAGAUGCUCGAGGAAGCCUCAGACAUCUAGCCCCAUUACUGGGGCAAUGUCUUACUUGGGUUUUUCCAGAAACAGACCUGGAGACCAGGAUUCAAGUGCCACUGGUAUAUUUGGGAUAUGACUCCUGCAGUGCUGGUAGGAGAGUGGAGAAGCGAGGCAAGGAAAGGAAGGCUGUCAAGGAGCAUGUUAGGAAGUCAUUCACCACCGCAGGCAGCCCACUGAGGACCUCUGGGAGCAAGUGUGGCACACAAGCCUCAGCAUUGCUGCCCUGUGCCUUGAGGGGUAAGGGAUGAGGAUUUUCCCCACCAGUUCCCUAUAGUCCUUGGUGAGAGCUUCUGGGGUGGAGGUUAAGGCCUUUAGGUCAGAGAAAUUUUCUUUAGUUUAGGAAAAACCUUUCAGGCCAAAGUCCAGACACUCACUGGAACACACUGAAGUGGUUAGGUCCAAGGGCUGUAGGCAGAGCUCCCAUAUGCUUCUGCAGAGGUGUUUCAGGUGGGAGGAGUAGAGAGAGCCUUCUCUGCUUGACACCGUCUUCAGCAAGGGUUUCUGUAUCUGUGCAUUGAGAAUUAAAUUAUUCACAUGGUCAGAGAAGCCCAUCACCACUGAUAAUUAUUGUAGGUAUGGAAAACUAACAACUCAGAAGGGAGAAAAAAAUACCAAGCAGUUGGUUUGGCUGAACACAAGUAAAGACUCUCACAGUCACUGAUGUGAACUGCUUAUUAUCAAUGUCUGAUUACAGUGCUGCAUACUAAUGAUUAUGCGUGUCAUUAAAUGUGUCAGAUUAACUUUGUUAUAAAAUUUAUGACAACAUUAAAUUUUAUUACAUG
Cercocebus atys (sooty mangabey) is the source of this 8139-nucleotide long non-coding RNA. RefSeq lists it as uncharacterized. The record is from RefSeq and is a predicted model, not a curated record. NCBI's taxonomy places the organism in Eukaryota, Metazoa, Chordata, Mammalia, Primates, Cercopithecidae. The transcript has 2 exons.